UCGGGAAUCUUGUGCAAUGGGGGCAACCCUGACACAGCAACGCCGCGUGAGGGAUGAAGGCCCUAGGGUCGUAAACCUCUGUCGAGAGGGAAGAAUCCUCUGGGGGUAAACAAUCCCCGGAGUUGACGGUACCUCCAAAGGAAGCGCCGGCUAACUCCGUGCCAGCAGCCGCGGUAAUACGGAGGGCGCAAGCGUUGUUCGGAAUCAUUGGGCGUAAAGCGCGUGCAGGCGGCUUGGCAAGUCGGACGUGAAAGCCCGGGGCUCAACCCCGGAACUGCGCUCGAAACUGCCUCGCUAGAGUCCCGGAGAGGAGGGCGGAAUUCCCGGUGUAGAGGUGAAAUUCGUAGAUAUCGGGAGGAACACCAGCGGCGAAGGCGGCCCUCUGGACGGUGACUGACGCUCAGACGCGAAAGCGUGGGGAGCAAACAGGAUUAGAUACCCGCGUAGUCC
Molecule: ribosomal RNA, 450 nt
Filed under: uncultured prokaryote
Description: bacterial SSU rRNA
Rfam family: Bacterial small subunit ribosomal RNA
Source: RNAcentral